This 77-nucleotide transfer RNA is filed under the name Dehalococcoidia bacterium. RNAcentral's name for it is "tRNA-Arg". It matches the Rfam family "tRNA". Rfam says of the family: Transfer RNA (tRNA) molecules are approximately 80 nucleotides in length. Their secondary structure includes four short double-helical elements and three loops (D, anti-codon, and T loops). Further hydrogen bonds mediate the characteristic L-shaped molecular structure. tRNAs have two regions of fundamental functional importance: the anti-codon, which is responsible for specific mRNA codon recognition, and the 3' end, to which the tRNAs corresponding amino acid is attached (by aminoacyl-tRNA synthetases). tRNAs cope with the degeneracy of the genetic code in two manners: having more than one tRNA (with a specific anti-codon) for a particular amino acid; and 'wobble' base-pairing, i.e. permitting non-standard base-pairing at the 3rd anti-codon position. Lineage: Bacteria; Bacillati; Chloroflexota; Dehalococcoidia. The record is from RNAcentral.
GCGCUCGUAGCUCAGCAGGAUAGAGCGCCACCCUGCGGAGGUGGAGGCCGUGAGUUCGAAUCUCGCCGAGCGCACCA